This 377-nucleotide ribosomal RNA is filed under the name uncultured bacterium. Its description in RNAcentral is "bacterial SSU rRNA". It matches the Rfam family "Bacterial small subunit ribosomal RNA", at positions 523 to 898 of the family's 1533-position model. The record is from RNAcentral.
AUACGUAGGUGGCAAGCGUUGUCCGGAUUUAUUGGGCGUAAAGCGAGCGCAGGCGGUUUCUUAGGUCUGAUGUGAAAACCUUCGGCUUAACCGGAGAAGUGCAUCGGAAACCAGGAGACUUGAGUGCAGAAGAGGACAGUGGAACUCCAUGUGUAGCGGUGAAAUGCGUAGAUAUAUGGAAGAACACCAGUGGCGAAGGCGGCUGUCUGGUCUGUAACUGACGCUGAGGCUCGAAAGCAUGGGUAGCGAACAGGAUUAGAUACCCUGGUAGUCCAUGCCGUAAACGAUGAGUGCUAAGUGUUGGAGGGUUUCCGCCCUUCAGUGCUGCAGCUAACGCAUUAAGCACUCCGCCUGGGGAGUACGACCGCAAGGUUGAA